RNAcentral lists this ribosomal RNA (865 nucleotides) under uncultured bacterium. RNAcentral's name for it is "bacterial SSU rRNA". It matches the Rfam family "Bacterial small subunit ribosomal RNA", at positions 37 to 896 of the family's 1533-position model. The record is from RNAcentral.
UGGCGGGAUGCUUUACACAUGCAAGUCGAACGGCAGCACGGACUUCGGUCUGGUGGCGAGUGGCGAACGGGUGAGUAACAUAUCGGAACGUAUCCAAUAAUGGGGGAUAACUAAUCGAAAGGUUGGCUAAUACCGCAUACGCCCUACGGGGGAAAGCAGGGGAUCUUCGGACCUUGCGUUAAUGGAGCGGCUGAUAUCUGAUUAGCUAGUUGGUGAGGUAAAGGCUCACCAAGGCGACGAUCAGUAGCUGGUCUGAGAGGACGACCAGCCACACUGGAACUGAGACACGGUCCAGACUCCUACGGGAGGCAGCAGUGGGGAAUUUUGGACAAUGGGCGCAAGCCUGAUCCAGCCAUUCCGCGUGAGUGAAGAAGGCCUUCGGGUUGUAAAGCUCUUUCGCAAGGGAAGAAAACUUACUUUCUAAUAAAGAGUGAGGUUGACGGUACCUUGAUAAGAAGCACCGGCUAACUACGUGCCAGCAGCCGCGGUAAUACGUAGGGUGCGAGCGUUAAUCGGAAUUACUGGGCGUAAAGCGUGCGCAGGCGGCUUUGUAAGUCAGAUGUGAAAUCCCCGAGCUCAACUUGGGAACUGCGUUUGAAACUACAAGGCUAGAAUAUGUCAGAGGGGGGUAGAAUUCCACGUGUAGCAGUGAAAUGCGUAGAGAUGUGGAGGAAUACCAAUGGCGAAGGCAGCCCCCUGGGAUAAUAUUGACGCUCAUGCACGAAAGCGUGGGGAGCAAACAGGAUUAGAUACCCUGGUAGUCCACGCCCUAAACGAUGUCUACUAGUUGUUGGUGGAGUAAAAUCCAUGAGUAACGCAGCUAACGCGUGAAGUAGACCGCCUGGGGAGUACGGUCGCAAGAUUA